This is a non-coding RNA of Microcebus murinus (gray mouse lemur), 794 nucleotides long. NCBI's taxonomy places the organism in Eukaryota, Metazoa, Chordata, Mammalia, Primates, Cheirogaleidae. The record is from RefSeq and is a predicted model, not a curated record.
UCUAAGGAGCGCCCUCGCGCCGUUGUCAGGGGAGGGUUCAUUCCCCUCCAACCGCCCGCGCGCUCAUGCUUUUCCUCCGCUCCGUUUCCAUGGCUCCCAUUUCCUACUUUCUUCUCAUCUCCUCCGUCCUCAGCCUGUUCUGUAAGGCCAUUCUAAAGUUCCACAGUAUCCAGAUGAAACAACAGAGAAAGCAUAAACUUUGGAGUCCAAAGAUAAGGAUUUUAGUGUCAGCACACCACAUCUUGGCUAUGUAAUCUCAAAGCAGACCCUGGGAUGUUCCAGAGCAAACUCUCUUCACUAAGGCUGUAAGAAGGGCAUUUGUGAGGAUGACUUUUGGAGAUCCAUGCUGGCUUUCUGUGAACCAAAAAGGACAAGGAGCACUGCUGCCAUCUCAAUAGAAUCCACAUUUAACUCUGUGGUGAAGGGCACUGGCUUCUCCUGCAGGAUGCCCCAUCAUGAAAGUUGGGAUCAGAGUUUGAGGUAGUGAGAGUCUGACUGUGUUGCAGUCCCUCCUCAGGGGUUCCAGCUCACAGAUUUCACUUUUUGCUUGCUUCUCCCACUUUACCUCCAUCCUUCCUUCCUUCCUGUCUGCCCUGAGGAUUUUAGGUUCCAGGAGCAGACACAAAAACACCAGCCUCACAUAAUCUGGUUAACCAGUUCCACAAUUGCAUAAAAUCAAACCACUAUUAUAAAUUCCUUGUUAUUUACAUUUCCUAGUGUUUACUCAGUACUCUGAGUACUGACUGGAAUAUAAUCUAAGGACAAAACAAAGUAUAAAUUAAUCUUUAACUUCA